RNAcentral lists this transfer RNA (76 nucleotides) under Chloracidobacterium sp. RNAcentral's name for it is "tRNA-Arg". It matches the Rfam family "tRNA". From Rfam's summary of the family: Transfer RNA (tRNA) molecules are approximately 80 nucleotides in length. Their secondary structure includes four short double-helical elements and three loops (D, anti-codon, and T loops). Further hydrogen bonds mediate the characteristic L-shaped molecular structure. tRNAs have two regions of fundamental functional importance: the anti-codon, which is responsible for specific mRNA codon recognition, and the 3' end, to which the tRNAs corresponding amino acid is attached (by aminoacyl-tRNA synthetases). tRNAs cope with the degeneracy of the genetic code in two manners: having more than one tRNA (with a specific anti-codon) for a particular amino acid; and 'wobble' base-pairing, i.e. permitting non-standard base-pairing at the 3rd anti-codon position. The record is from RNAcentral. Lineage: Bacteria; Pseudomonadati; Acidobacteriota; Blastocatellia; Chloracidobacteriales; Chloracidobacteriaceae.
GUCCGUGUAGCUCAGCGGGAUUUAGAGCGCUGGUCUGCGAAGCCAGAGGGCGGGAGUUCAAAUCUCUCCACGGACA